CUGACGGUAGUCGUAUGCUCGUCUCCGAGACUAAGCCAUGCAAGGUCCAAGUACACGUCCUUGAACGACGGAAACUGCGAACGGCUCACUUAAAUCGAGUUGCGAUCUACUCGGCGUUCCGCGCCGCCGGAUAACCGUAGUAAUUCUAGGGCUAAUACGUGCGAAGCGCCCGAAGCCGCGAGGCGACGGGCGUUCUCGCCGGAUGGUAGGAACCGACCCGGGGGACCGCCGGGGCAACCCGGCGCCCCCGAGACGGGGCGAACCACGGUGAAAUGACGGAUCGUCGGCCCCGCGCCGGCGACUCGCCGAAUGAGUUUCUGACCUAUCAACUCGAGACGGCGGGGUAGAGGCCCGCCGCGGUAACGACGGGUAACGGGGAAUCAGGGUUCGAUUCCGGAGAGGGGAGCCCGAGAAACGGCUACCACUUCCAAGGAAGGCAGCAGGCGCGC
This 449-nucleotide ribosomal RNA is filed under the name uncultured eukaryote. RNAcentral describes it as "bacterial SSU rRNA". It matches the Rfam family "Eukaryotic small subunit ribosomal RNA", at positions 14 to 437 of the family's 1831-position model. The record is from RNAcentral.